RNAcentral lists this ribosomal RNA (480 nucleotides) under uncultured bacterium. RNAcentral describes it as "partial 16S ribosomal RNA". It matches the Rfam family "Bacterial small subunit ribosomal RNA", at positions 28 to 507 of the family's 1533-position model. The record is from RNAcentral.
GACGAACGCUGGCGGCGUGCUUAACACAUGCAAGUCGAACGAUGAAGCAAAGAAUCGAAGCUUCGGCAGAAAUUCAUUUCGGAUUAGUGGCAGACGGGUGAGUAACGCGUGAGCAACCUACCUCUUACAAAGGGAUAGCCUCGGGAAACCGGGAUUAAUACCAUAUAACAUUGCGACGAAGCAUUUCGAUGCAAUCAAAGCUACGGCGGUAAGAGAUGGGCUCGCGUCCCAUUAACCGGAUGGUGAGGUAACGGCUCACCAUAGUGACGAUGGGUAACCGGACUGAGAGGGUGAACGGUCACACUGGAACUGAGACACGGUCCAGACUCCUACGGGAGGCAGCAGUGGGGAAUAUUGCACAAUGGAGGGAACUCUGAUGCAGCGACGCCGCGUGAGUGAUGAAGGAAUUCGUUUCGUAAAACUCUGUUCUAUGGGAAGAAAAGGACUGUACCAUAGGAGAAAGCGCCGGCUAAAUACGUG